UAGGGAAUCUUCGGCAAUGGACGAAAGUCUGACCGAGCAACGCCGCGUGAGUGAAGAAGGUUUUCGGAUCGUAAAACUCUGUUGUUAGAGAAGAACAAGGACGUUAGUAACUGAACGUCCCCUGACGGUAUCUAACCAGAAAGCCACGGCUAACUACGUGCCAGCAGCCGCGGUAAUACGUAGGUGGCAAGCGUUGUCCGGAUUUAUUGGGCGUAAAGCGAGCGCAGGCGGUUUCUUAAGUCUGAUGUGAAAGCCCCCGGCUCAACCGGGGAGGGUCAUUGGGAACUGGGAGACUUGAGUGCAGAAGAGGAGAGUGGAAUUCCAUGUGUAGCGGUGAAAUGCGUAGAUAUAUGAAGGAACACCAGUGGCGAAGGCGGCUCUCUGGUCUGUAACUGACGCUGAGGCUCGAAAGCGUGGGGAGCAAACAGG
This 429-nucleotide ribosomal RNA is filed under the name Gemmatimonadota bacterium. RNAcentral's name for it is "Gemmatimonadetes bacterium partial 16S ribosomal RNA". It matches the Rfam family "Bacterial small subunit ribosomal RNA", at positions 355 to 776 of the family's 1533-position model. The record is from RNAcentral. Lineage: Bacteria; Pseudomonadati; Gemmatimonadota.